RNAcentral lists this long non-coding RNA (345 nucleotides) under Capsella rubella. Its description in RNAcentral is "long non-coding RNA (CRUB_LNC003060)". Lineage: Eukaryota; Viridiplantae; Streptophyta; Magnoliopsida; Brassicales; Brassicaceae. The record is from RNAcentral.
AAUAUACAUAUGAAGACGCAAGAGGAUUUGAUGGUUUCUGUUAUGAUUAUAGUGAAAACGUAGACGAUGAAGCCAAAGAAGAUGAAGCAAAGUACGAAUCAGAGGAUGAAGAAGAAGAUGACGAGUUUUCAACCCGAUUUGACGUAUUCGACGACUCCGAUGGUGCGUCAUCUGACGAUGAUAACUUUACUAUAUACGGCGAGCGUGAGGAGAAAGAUGAAGAUUUACCGGCUGCUACUCAAAACAGAGGUCAUUACUUUGGCAAAGUAGGAUCGAUUGGGAACUCGGAGUCUUUAACGGUGGAGAUGGCUAAGCUAAACCUCGUCGUAGGACAACGAUACGCGA